GCGAGCGUGGCGAAACUGGUAGACGCAGCGGACUUAAAAUCCGUUCGCCCAAAAGGCGGUGCGGGUUCAACUCCCGCCGCUCGCA
This 85-nucleotide transfer RNA is filed under the name Caulobacteraceae bacterium. RNAcentral describes it as "tRNA-Leu". It matches the Rfam family "tRNA". Rfam says of the family: Transfer RNA (tRNA) molecules are approximately 80 nucleotides in length. RNAcentral also lists the same sequence under 1 other name. Lineage: Bacteria; Pseudomonadati; Pseudomonadota; Alphaproteobacteria; Caulobacterales; Caulobacteraceae. The record is from RNAcentral.